This 459-nucleotide ribosomal RNA is filed under the name uncultured bacterium. RNAcentral's name for it is "partial 16S ribosomal RNA". It matches the Rfam family "Bacterial small subunit ribosomal RNA", at positions 338 to 795 of the family's 1533-position model. The record is from RNAcentral.
CCUACGGGAGGCUGCAGUGGGGAAUAUUGGUCAAUGGCCGGAAGGCUGAACCAGCCAAGCCGCGUGAAGGACGAAGGUGCCAAGCAUUGUAAACUUCUUUUGUCAAGGGACAAAAUCAGGCUCGAGAGCCUGACCGAGGGUACUUGAAGAAAAAGCAUCGGCUAACUCCGUGCCAGCAGCCGCGGUAAUACGGAGGAUGCGAGCGUUAUCCGGAUUUAUUGGGUUUAAAGGGUGCGUAGGCGGACUGUUAAGUCAGCGGUAAAAGCUCGGGGCUCAACCCCGGCGAGCCGUUGAAACUGGCUGGCUUGAGAGGGCGAGAGGUAUGCGGAAUGCGCGGUGUAGCGGUGAAAUGCUUAGAUAUUGCGCAGAACUCCGAUUGCGAAGGCAGCAUACCGGCGGCGAGCUGACGCUGAGGCACGAAAGCGUGGGUAUCGAACAGGAUUAGAUACCCGUGUAGUC